Long non-coding RNA from Ruditapes philippinarum (Manila clam), 373 nucleotides. RefSeq lists it as uncharacterized. The record is from RefSeq and is a predicted model, not a curated record. The transcript is spliced from 3 exons. Lineage: Eukaryota; Metazoa; Mollusca; Bivalvia; Venerida; Veneridae.
GCAACAACAACAGCAACAGCAAAAGCAACAACAACAGCAACAACAACAACAGCAAGAACUACACCCUGUGUUGACGUACAAACUUAUUGUUACUUGUACACAGCAACAUAUUGUAACAGUCUCUGGGGUUUACAACACUGUCGGAAAUCUUGUAAUCUAUGUGAUGUUGAUUUGAACACUCAUUGUAUCGACCAGACGACAUGUAACCAUGAAGCAUUAAGGUCAUGCCAUACAGACUGGGGACUGUCAAAUUGUAUACGCUCGUGUAAUCGUUGUUAAGACCAAUACAUGUCGAGCUGUGUGUCUAAUGUCUAGACUUGAAUUAUUUCUGUUAAACAAAUAAUUCUGAAAUAUACUUUGUACGAAAGUGUAA